This 298-nucleotide ribosomal RNA is filed under the name Aplanochytrium stocchinoi. RNAcentral describes it as "partial Bacterial large subunit ribosomal RNA". It matches the Rfam family "Bacterial large subunit ribosomal RNA", at positions 88 to 435 of the family's 2925-position model. Lineage: Eukaryota; Bigyra; Thraustochytrida; Thraustochytriidae. The record is from RNAcentral.
GCAAACAGACUGUGAUCCAGAGAUCUCUGAAUGGGGGAACCCAGCCAGCACAAGCUGGUUAUCUUGUACUGAAUACAUAGGUGCAAGAGGCGAACCAGGGGAACUGAAACAUCUAAGUACCCUGAGGAAAAGAAAUCAACCGAGAUUCCCUUAGUAGUGGCGAGCGAACGGGGACUAGCCCUUAAGUGGCUUUGAGAUUAGCGGAACGCUCUGGAAAGUGCGGCCAUAGUGGGUGAUAGCCCUGUACGCGAAAAUCUCUUAGUCAUGAAAUCGAGUAGGACGGAGCACGAGAAACUUU